Molecule: non-coding RNA, 648 nt
Filed under: Pan troglodytes (chimpanzee)
Lineage: Eukaryota; Metazoa; Chordata; Mammalia; Primates; Hominidae
Source: RNAcentral
GAACACAAAAUGGCGACACGUGGUUAGCAUUCGUCGCCAACGAGAAAUUGGGGUCGGCCCGAAAGCUCUAGAAUGCACCCCCCUUCUUCCCCGGGGCCUUCCACCUCCGCGAGUUUUAUGACUUAAAAAACCCCACAGGCUGGUCUGAAGACUUCCUAGCAUGGGCUGUUGUGCUGGAGAGAACGAGAGCUACGAAGAGACUACAAUGCCUCUGACUUUUUCAUAGGACAGUUGGCCGAGGAAGACAAACAUAAAGAUGAAGUGCUUAAUUCAAGGUCACACAAUGUCGGGGAUGGACCUCCAGAUUUCCUUACUGGAAAACAAGCUCAGGGCUCCCACUGAUUGUACAUUAUGAGACGGAGUCUUGCUAUGUUGCCCAGGCUGGUCUUGAACUCCUCACCUCAAGCGAUCCUCUCGUCUUGGCCUCCCAAGUGUCAGGAUUACAGGCAUGUGCUAUCACACCCAACCUGAUACAUUGCCUUUAUAAAUUUUUUUUUCUUUAUUCUAAAAACCAGAAAAAACAAAACUGGAUACAUGUGCAGAACAUGCAGGUUUGUUACAUAGCUGUACGUGUGCCAUGGUGGUUUGCUGCACCUAUUGACCUAUCCUGUAAGUUCCCUCCCCUCACCCCCACCCCCCAACAGCCCU